UCGAAAGCUUGCUUUUGAUGGGCGUCGACCGGCACACGGGUGAGUAACGCGUAUCCAACCUGCCCACCACUUGGGGAUAACCUUGCGAAAGUAAGACUAAUACCCAAUGACGUCUCUAGAAGACAUCUGAAAGAGAUUAAAGAUUUAUCGGUGAUGGAUGGGGAUGCGUCUGAUUAGCUUGUUGGCGGGGUAACGGCCCACCAAGGCAACGAUCAGUAGGGGUUCUGAGAGGAAGGUCCCCCACAUUGGAACUGAGACACGGUCCAAACUCCUACGGGAGGCAGCAGUGAGGAAUAUUGGUCAAUGGACGAGAGUCUGAACCAGCCAAGUAGCGCGCAGGAUGACGGCCCUAUGGGUUGUAAACUGCUUUUAUAAGGGAAUAAAGUGAGUCUCGUGAGACUUUUUGCAUGUACCUUAUGAAUAAGGACCGGCUAAUUCCGUGCCAGCAGCCGCGGUAAUACGGAAGGUCCGGGCGUUAUCCGGAUUUAUUGGGUUUAAAGGGAGCGUAGGCCGGAGAUUAAGCGUGUUGUGAAAUGUAGACGCUCAACGUCUGCACUGCAGCGCGAACUGGUUUCCUUGAGUACGCACAAAGUGGGCGGAAUUCGUGGUGUAGCGGUGAAAUGCCUAGAUAUCACGAAGAACUCCGAUUGCGAAGGCAGCU
RNAcentral lists this ribosomal RNA (661 nucleotides) under uncultured Bacteroidota bacterium. RNAcentral's name for it is "bacterial SSU rRNA". It matches the Rfam family "Bacterial small subunit ribosomal RNA", at positions 68 to 726 of the family's 1533-position model. The record is from RNAcentral. Lineage: Bacteria; Pseudomonadati; Bacteroidota.